Molecule: ribosomal RNA, 468 nt
Filed under: uncultured bacterium
Lineage: Bacteria
Description: partial 16S ribosomal RNA
Rfam family: Bacterial small subunit ribosomal RNA
Source: RNAcentral
GACGAACGCUGGCGGCGUGCUUAACACAUGCAAGUCGAACGGAAAGGCCCUGCUUUUGUGGGGUGCUCGAUUGGCGAACGGGUGAGUAACACGUGAGUAACCUGCCCUUGACUUUGUGAGAACUUCAGGAAAAUGGGGCUAAUACCGGGUAGGAGCUCCUGCUGCAUGGUGGGGGUUGGAAAGUGUCGGCGGUUGGGGAUGGACUCGCGGCUUAUCAGCUUGUUUGUGUGGUAGUUGCUUACCAAGGCUUUGACGGGUAGCCGGCCUGAGAGGGUGACCGGCGACAUUGGGACUGAGAUACGGAGCAGACUGCUACGGGCGGCAGAAGUGGGGAAUAUUGCACAAUGGGCGGAAGUGUGAUGCAGCAACGCCGCGUGCGGGAUGCCCGCCUUCGAGUUGUAAACCGCUUUCGCCUGUGACGUAGAGUGAGUGACGGUAAUGGGUCAAGAAGCAACGGCUAACUACGUG